RNAcentral lists this non-coding RNA (97 nucleotides) under uncultured Dialister sp. RNAcentral describes it as "SAM riboswitch (S box leader)". It matches the Rfam family "SAM riboswitch aptamer (S box leader)". Rfam says of the family: The SAM riboswitch is found upstream of a number of genes which code for proteins involved in methionine or cysteine biosynthesis in Gram-positive bacteria. The SAM riboswitch acts at the level of transcription termination control. The predicted structure consists of a complex stem-loop region followed by a single stem loop terminator region. The record is from RNAcentral. Lineage: Bacteria; Bacillati; Bacillota; Negativicutes; Veillonellales; Veillonellaceae.
UUCAUCAGGAGUGGCGGAGGGACUGGCCCAAUGAAACCACGGCAACCAUUCGUAACGAAAACGGUGCCAAUUCCAGCGAGGUAACUCGGAAGAUGAU